AACCGAGAACUCCUACGGGAGGCAGCAGUGGGGAAUAUUGCGCAAUGGGGGCAACCCUGACGCAGCCAUGCCGCGUGUGUGAAGAAGGCCUUCGGGUUGUAAAGCACUUUCAAUGGGGAAGAAAAUCGUAGCGUUAAUAGCGUUGCGCCGUGACGUUACCCAUAGAAGAAGCACCGGCUAACUCCGUGCCAGCAGCCGCGGUGAUACGGAGGGUGCGAGCGUUAAUCGGAAUUACUAGGCGUAAAGCGCGCGUAGGCGGUUUGUUAAGUCAGCUGUGAAAGCCCCGGGCUUAACCUGGGAACUGCAGUUGAUACUGGCCGACUAGAGUACGAGAGAGGGAGGUAGAAUUCCAUGUGUAGCGGUGAAAUGCGUAGAUAUAUGGAGGAAUACCGGUGGCGAAGGCGGCCUCCUGGCUCGAUACUGACGCUGAGGUGCGAAAGCGUGGGGAUCAAACAGGAUUAGAAACCCCAGUAGUCCGACUGAGA
This 485-nucleotide ribosomal RNA is filed under the name uncultured bacterium. RNAcentral describes it as "bacterial SSU rRNA". It matches the Rfam family "Bacterial small subunit ribosomal RNA", at positions 327 to 805 of the family's 1533-position model. The record is from RNAcentral.